This is a long non-coding RNA of Terrapene triunguis (Three-toed box turtle), 251 nucleotides long. RefSeq lists it as uncharacterized. The transcript has 3 exons. Lineage: Eukaryota; Metazoa; Chordata; Testudines; Emydidae. The record is from RefSeq and is a predicted model, not a curated record.
GGCUGACAUGGCGGCCGGGCCAGAUUGAGCCGCUCGCAUCGGGGCCUCCAGAGCCGGGCAUGGGGGGGGCGCAGCCUCAGCGCCCCUAGGGCAGCAGCCAGUGAGGCUGACAAUAAUAGCUGAUAUUCCUAAGUGCAACCAUUGUGAAGCAAGGCUGAGCAGACAAUCAGCCAGUUUCCCGUGCCCAAACAGUCGAUUUUAAUCAACAUUAUAUUACUGGAGAAUUGCGUUUCAAGCAGUCUCAAGUGACA